This is a small nucleolar RNA of Eleginops maclovinus (Patagonian blennie), 83 nucleotides long. RefSeq annotates it as small nucleolar RNA SNORD121A. The transcript has a single exon. The record is from RefSeq and is a predicted model, not a curated record. NCBI's taxonomy places the organism in Eukaryota, Metazoa, Chordata, Actinopteri, Perciformes, Eleginopidae.
CAUGAGGAGGUGAUGAUGGUAAUAACAAGCACAUAUCUUAAAAUCAAAUGUGUAGAUGAAUUAAGUUUCUGAACCUCCUCAUU